Molecule: small RNA, 1332 nt
Filed under: Pan troglodytes (chimpanzee)
Lineage: Eukaryota; Metazoa; Chordata; Mammalia; Primates; Hominidae
Description: retained intron
Source: RNAcentral
ACAGCGUGACGUGGGGGUACCGAGAUCUGCGGGAGCAGCGGUCCCGGCUUCAGUUCUAGCCUACCCGGCAGCCUGGACGGGAGCAAGGCGAGAGGUGCUGCCGCCUCCCGUCGCCCCUGCGCUCAGAGGUCCCGAACCAGCCCAGCCGCUGCCUCUUGCCGCUCCGCCUUUGGAGUGAGGAGGGCGUAGCCCGCGUCAGAACUUAGAGGGCCAGGCAGGGUCGCGCGCAUGGCCUGGGCGGGCUCGCGGCGGGUCCCAGCUGGGACGCGCGCGGCAGCCGAGCGCUGCUGCCGGCUCUCGCUCAGCCCGGGCGCGCAACCGGCCCCGCCCCCAGGCCCUCUGCCACCGCCGCGACCAAUGAGGUUUCUGACCUCCUACAGCCUCCUCUUGCCUCGGGCUGCCCAGAUCUUGGCGGCUGAGGCUGGCUUACCUUCGAGCCGUUCCUUCAUGGGAUUUGCUGCUCCCUUCACCAACAAGCGAAAGGCUUACUCGGAGCGUAGAAUCAUGGGGUACUCAAUGCAGGAGAUGUAUGAGGUGGUGUCCAACGUCCAGGAGUACCGUGAGUUUGUGCCCUGGUGUAAGAAGUCUCUGGUGGUAUCCAGCCGUAAGGGUCAUUUGAAAGCCCAGCUGGAGGUUGGCUUUCCACCUGUCAUGGAACGUUACACCUCUGCAGUUUCCAUGGUCAAACCUCACAUGGUCAAGGUGAGGCCUGUAUGGGAGGGAUUGACAAGAUUUUUUGUUUUUAGCAGUUUCAUAUGAAAGUGCUAUUUUGGCCUUCCUUGUAAGUACUUUAUGUCCAUGUGUCAAGUAUUUCCCUCGUAUCAGAAAAGAAGGAAAAUGGCUUUCAAUUCCUUUAUAUUGUAUCCUAUACUUAGUAAUGUUAUUUAACUACCUGAUUACCCUAUUCUAGGCUGUUUGUACUGAUGGCAAGCUCUUCAACCACUUAGAGACUAUUUGGCGAUUCAGCCCUGGUAUUCCUGCCUAUCCUCGAACCUGCACUGUGGACUUUUCGAUUUCCUUUGAAUUUCGUUCUCUGCUGCACUCCCAGCUGGCCACCAUGUUUUUUGAUGAGGUUGUCAAACAGAAUGUUGCUGCCUUUGAGCGUCGGGCAGCCACCAAGUUUGGUCCAGAAACAGCCAUCCCCCGUGAACUGAUGUUCCAUGAGGUGCACCAGACUUGAGGCAAGGGGUUGCUCCCUGACCUCCCUUCUACCCCACUUCCCUACGCAAUUCUCUUAUUUAUUUGGUUUGGCUCCUGUUCCAAUUUGAAAGGAGUCUGUGUUCAUAAUACUGUUUCUCCUCUCAAUUUCCCAGAAAUUGGGUUCUAUGCUGG